UUACUAGAGCAAAGGAUAGACAGCGCCCGCGGAGCUCGCUCCCGGGGCCACCCUACUCCGGUAGGGUUUAGAGUCGUCGGGCCUCUCGGAGAAGCUCGGUCCUGAACUCCACCCUUGAAUAAACUACCUUUGUUGCUUUGGCGGGCCGCCUCGUGCCAGCGGCUUCGGCUGUUGAGUGCCCGCCAGAGGACCACAACUCUUGUUUUUAGUGAUGUCUGAGUACUAUAUAAUAGUUAAAACUUUCAACAACGGAUCUCUUGGUUCUGGCAUCGAUGAAGAACGCAGCGAAAUGCGAUAAGUAAUGUGAAUUGCAGAAUUCAGUGAAUCAUCGAAUCUUUGAACGCACAUUGCGCCCUCUGGUAUUCCGGGGGGCAUGCCUGUUCGAGCGUCAUUAUAACCACUCAAGCUCUCGCUUGGUAUUGGGGUUCGCGGUUUCGCGGCUCCUAAAAUCAGUGGCGGUGCCUAUCGGCUCUACGCGUAGUAAUACUCCUCGCGAUUGAGUCCGGUAGGUCUACUUGCCAGCAACCCCUAAUUUUUUAAGGUUGACCUCGGAUCAGGUAGGGAUACCCGCUGAACUUAAGCAUAUCAAUAAGCGGAGGAAAAGAAACCAACAGGGAUUACCUCAGUAACGGCGAGUGAAGCGGUAACAGCUCAAAUUUGAAAGCUGGCUCUUUUAGGGUCCGCGUUGUAAUUUGUAGAGAUGCUUCGGGUGUGGCCCCGGUCUAAGUUCCU
RNAcentral lists this ribosomal RNA (732 nucleotides) under fungal sp. RNAcentral's name for it is "eukaryotic LSU rRNA". The stretch from base 238 to 391 matches the Rfam family "5.8S ribosomal RNA". The record is from RNAcentral. Lineage: Eukaryota; Fungi.